GACGUAACGCGUAUCGACAACCUACCUAUACGAGGAGGGAACGUAACCGGCGAAGUCGGACUAAUACCGCAUAAAACAGGGGCACCGCAUGGUGAUAUUUGUUAAAGAAAUUCGCUGAUAGAUGGGCAUGCGUUCCAUUAGGUAGUUGGUGAGGUAACGGCUCACCAAGCCGACGAUGGAUAGGGAACUGAGAGGUUGGUCCCCCACACUGGUACUGAGACACGGACCAGACUCCUACGGGAGGCAGCAGUGAGGAAUAUUGGUCAAUGGGCGAGAGCCUGAACCAGCCAAGUCGCCGUGAAGGAAGAAGGAUCUAUGGUUCGUAAACUUCUUUUGCAGGGGAAUAAAGUGCGGGACGUGUCCUGUUUUGUAUGUACCCUGAGAAUAAGGAUCGGCUAACUCCGUGCCAGCCGCAGC
RNAcentral lists this ribosomal RNA (417 nucleotides) under uncultured bacterium. RNAcentral's name for it is "bacterial SSU rRNA". It matches the Rfam family "Bacterial small subunit ribosomal RNA", at positions 108 to 518 of the family's 1533-position model. The record is from RNAcentral.